UGGGGAAUUUUGGACAAUGGGCGAAAGCCUGAUCCAGCAAUGCCGCGUGUGUGAAGAAGGCCUUCGGGUUGUAAAGCACUUUUGUCCGGAAAGAAAUCCUUGGCUCUAAUACAGUCGGGGGAUGACGGUACCGGAAGAAUAAGCACCGGCUAACUACGUGCCAGCAGCCGCGGUAAUACGUAGGGUGCAAGCGUUAAUCGGGAAUUACUGGGCGUAAAGCGUGCGCAGGCGGUUUGCUAAGACCGAUGUGAAAUCCCCGGGGCUCAACCUGGGAACUGCAUUGGGUGACUGGCAGGGCUAGAGUAUGGCAGAGGGGGGUAGAAUUCCACGUGUAGCAGUGAAAUGCGUAGAGAUGUGGAGGAAUACCGAUGGCGAAGGCAGCCCCCUGGGCCAAAUACUGACGCUCAUGCACGAAAGCGUGGGGAGCAAACAGGAUUNGAUACCCUGGUAGUCCACGCCCUAAACGAUGUCAACUAGUUGUUGGGGAUUCAUUUCCUAGUAACGUAGCUAACGCGUGAAGUUGACCGCCUGGGGAGUACGGUCGCAAGAUU
Molecule: ribosomal RNA, 551 nt
Filed under: uncultured bacterium
Lineage: Bacteria
Description: partial 16S ribosomal RNA
Rfam family: Bacterial small subunit ribosomal RNA
Source: RNAcentral